RNAcentral lists this ribosomal RNA (441 nucleotides) under uncultured Glomus. RNAcentral's name for it is "SSU rRNA". It matches the Rfam family "Eukaryotic small subunit ribosomal RNA", at positions 587 to 1032 of the family's 1831-position model. Lineage: Eukaryota; Fungi; Glomeromycota; Glomeromycetes; Glomerales; Glomeraceae. The record is from RNAcentral.
AGCUCCAAUAGCGUAUAUUAAAGUUGUUGCAGUUAAAAAGCUCGUAGUUGAAUUUCGGGGUUAGUAGGUUGGUCAUGCCUCUGGUAUGUACUGAUCUCACUGAUUCCUCCCUCUUGACGAACUGUAAUGUCAUUAAUUUGGUGUUGCAGGAAAUCAGGACUGUUACUUUGAAAAAAUUAGAGUGUUUAAAGCAGGCUUAGGCUUGAAUACAUUAGCAUGGAAUAAUGAAAUAGGACGUUUGAUCCUAUUUUGUUGGUUUCUAGGAUCGACGUAAUGAUUAAUAGGGAUAGUUGGGGGCAUUAGUAUUCAAUUGUCAGAGGUGAAAUUCUUGGAUUUAUUGAAGACUAACUACUGCGAAAGCAUUUGCCAAGGAUGUUUUCAUUAAUCAAGAACGAAAGUUAGGGGAUCGAAGACGAUCAGAUACCGUCGUAGUCUUAACCA